UCCCUGGAGGACUAGUGGUUAGGCCUCGGCGCUCUCACCGCACAGCCUGGGUUCGAUUCCUGGCCAGGGAA
Molecule: transfer RNA, 71 nt
Filed under: Pangasianodon gigas (Mekong giant catfish)
Lineage: Eukaryota; Metazoa; Chordata; Actinopteri; Siluriformes; Pangasiidae
Description: tRNA-Glu
Rfam family: tRNA
About the family: Transfer RNA (tRNA) molecules are approximately 80 nucleotides in length. Their secondary structure includes four short double-helical elements and three loops (D, anti-codon, and T loops).
Source: RNAcentral